Long non-coding RNA from Xenia sp. Carnegie-2017, 480 nucleotides. RefSeq lists it as uncharacterized. NCBI's taxonomy places the organism in Eukaryota, Metazoa, Cnidaria, Anthozoa, Malacalcyonacea, Xeniidae. The record is from RefSeq and is a predicted model, not a curated record. The transcript has 4 exons.
AUAGACUAAUUAGCUCGCUCGGUCACAAAUUUUUAGAGAAAACAUUCGCGCAUGCGCCGUAUGCUCGAGCAUGCGCAGUCGACUGGACGAAGUUCAUGUUAAUGGCAACGACCAACUGCAUCUAUUGGCACCGAUUUUAAAGUGAAUAGCCCGUGGAAUGACUACCUGAGAACUACCAGGUGGUUAUGGUCGUGUCAAACCUGAUCUUGUUACCUACGGUUCUGGAGUGAGGAGUUCUAAGUUGAGAGGUGGUUGUCGAUCGUUGUCCGCUACAAGCGUUGCAUCUCCUGUUGUUGCUGGCGCUGACACCUUAUUACUGACGUCAUGGUAAACUAGAUCUCAUAAAGGCAUAUUAAGUAUUAUCCAGUUAUAAACUUCAAACCAGUCUGAGUCCGAGUUACGUGGAUCUGAUGGAGUGUCCGUAUAUGUGGCCAUAUUGUGAACAACCUCUCUACGCGUUUAGUGUCGCUGUCAUUGUGA